Molecule: ribosomal RNA, 490 nt
Filed under: uncultured bacterium
Lineage: Bacteria
Description: partial 16S ribosomal RNA
Rfam family: Bacterial small subunit ribosomal RNA
Source: RNAcentral
AUUGAACGCUGGCGGCAGGCCUAACACAUGCCAGUCGAGCGGUAACAGAGAUUAGCUUGCUAAUCUGCUGACGAGCGGCGGACGGGUGAGUAAUGCAUAGGAAGUUGCCCAGUAGAGGGGGAUACCAGUUGGAAACGACUGUUAAUACCGCAUGAUCUCUUUGGAGCAAAGCAGGGGACCUUCGGGCCUUGCGCUACUGGAUACGCCUAUGUGGGAUUAGCUAGUUGGUGAGGUAAUGGCUCACCAAGGCGACGAUCCCUAGCUGGUCUGAGAGGAUGAUCAGCCACACUGGGACUGAGACACGGCCCAGACUCCUACGGGAGGCAGCAGUGGGGAAUAUUGCACAAUGGGCGAAAGCCUGAUGCAGCCAUGCCGCGUGUAUGAAGAAGGCCUUCGGGUUGUAAAGUACUUUCAGUUGUGAGGAAGGUUGUGUAGUUAAUAGCUGCAUAAUUUGACGUUAGCAACAGAAGAAGCACCGGCUAACUCCGUG